AGGACGAACGCUGGCGGCGUGCUUAACACAUGCAAGUCGAGCGGAAAGGCCCUUCGGGGUACUCGAGCGGCGAACGGGUGAGUAACACGUGAGUAAUCUGCCCCUAGCUCUGGGAUAGCUCCGGGAAACCGGGAUUAAUACCGGAUACGACCACCUUAGACAUCUUUUGUGGUGGAAAGAAUUUCGGCUAGGGAUGAACUCGCGGCCUAUCAGCUUGUUGGUGGGGUAACGGCCUACCAAGGCGACGACGGGUAG
RNAcentral lists this ribosomal RNA (255 nucleotides) under uncultured bacterium. RNAcentral's name for it is "partial small subunit ribosomal RNA". It matches the Rfam family "Bacterial small subunit ribosomal RNA", at positions 26 to 286 of the family's 1533-position model. The record is from RNAcentral.